AGAGUUUGAUCCUGGCUCAGAUUGAACGCUGGCGGCAUGCCUUACACAUGCAAGUCGAACGGCAGCACGGGGCAACCUGGUGGCGAGUGGCGAACGGGUGAGUAAUAUAUCGGAAUGUACCCUAGAGUGGGGGAUAACGUAGCGAAAGUUACGCUAAUACCGCAUACGAUCUAAGGAUGAAAGUGGGGGACCGCAAGGCCUCAUGCUCAUGGAGCAGCCGAUAUCUGAUUAGCUAGUUGGUAGGGUAAAAGCCUACCAAGGCGACGAUCAGUAGCUGGUUUGAGAGAACGACCAGCCACACUGGAACUGAGACACGGUCCAGACUCCUACGGGAGGCAGCAGUGGGGAAUUUUGGACAAUGGGCGCAAGCCUGAUCCAGCAAUGCCGCGUGAGUGAAGAAGGCCUUCGGGUUGUAAAGCUCUUUCGGCGGGGAAGAAAUUGCUUCGGCUAAUAACCGGAGUAGAUGACGGUACCCGCAUAAGAAGCACCGGCUAACUACGUGCCAGCAGCCGCGGUAAUACGUAGGGUGCGAGCGUUAAUCGGAAUUACUGGGCGUAAAGCGUGCGCAGGCGGUUGUGUAAGUCAGAUGUGAAAUCCCCGGGCUCAACCUGGGAACUGCAUUUGAGACUGCACGGCUAGAGUGUAGCAGAGGGGGGUAGAAUUCCACGUGUAGCAGUGAAAUGCGUAGAGAUGUGGAGGAAUACCGAUGGCGAAGGCAGCCCCCUGGGUUACUACUGACGCUCAUGCACGAAAGCGUGGGGAGCAAACAGGAUUAGAUACCCUGGUAGUCC
This 791-nucleotide ribosomal RNA is filed under the name uncultured bacterium. RNAcentral describes it as "bacterial SSU rRNA". It matches the Rfam family "Bacterial small subunit ribosomal RNA", at positions 8 to 796 of the family's 1533-position model. The record is from RNAcentral.